Long non-coding RNA from Microplitis mediator, 1147 nucleotides. RefSeq lists it as uncharacterized. The transcript has 3 exons. NCBI's taxonomy places the organism in Eukaryota, Metazoa, Arthropoda, Insecta, Hymenoptera, Braconidae. The record is from RefSeq and is a predicted model, not a curated record.
CAAUUUGUCAAUUCAAUACCAAAUAUUUUUUGCAACGUUUGUCGGUAUAAUCUUAGAGUAUAAAUAACUAAUAAACCUAAAACUGCUCUCACUGAAAAUAAUAAUCAUGAUGACACAGAGACAACUUUAAGAUGUCUAAUAAGAGGAUGAGACAAAUUUUAUUUUGUCUCCGACCCAAGUUUUCUUAAAUAAAUAAGACGUACAGAUGUUGGUCCAGGAGUCAAAGAAAAUUUGUGUUCUUUUUGUCAUCACUUUUGUCAAGCCUUUUAAGCAGAUAUUCUUUCGGUGACAAAAAUUUCUGAUUCAUUUAUUAUUUACCAGAAUAUACAAUAUUCACAUACAAACAUAAUACAUAUAAAUACAUGAUAUAUAAAUAUGUACCUAUAGAGGCGCGUACACCUGUACAUAGGCCUGGCAAUUAAUUUAUACAUAAAAUUAAGCUUAAUCCAAGUCAUUCAAUUUAAAAAUUUGAGAAAAGAAAAGUAAAGAAAGGUAAAGAGUGAGAAAUUAAGAAAUAUGAUCUAACGCAACCGGUAGUUCAUUAGUGUUUUAUUGCAACAAUAUAAGAGUUUUUGAAAGUUAUGGAUUUGUUAACUUUGGGUGAUGGAAUACUUUUGUUUCUAGUUUUUCCUUUGUUAUUCUCAUACAAAAGUUUACAAUUGCUAUAAUGAUAACUCAAGGACUCAAGAGUAAAGGUAUCUUUUAUUCCUAGAACACGGUUGUCCUCAGAGAAGAUAUCAAUGAGUUUAUUUUGGAUUCUUGCUAGGGUAGCAGUGGUGGUUUUAUGAUUAUUUCGUCAACAUUUUGGUUUAUUGAUAGGUCAAAAAACAGCCUCAAUACUGAUAUCUUUUGGUCACAAAGCCAAGUGUGCUACUCGGUACAAAAUAAAAAUUUAAAAAUGCGUUCUUAGACAAUUGAAAAAUCAGUCCGCGCAUUUUUUUAAAUUUCAUUAUUUCAAUUAAUUAAUUUAUUUAUUUAAAAUUUAUAAAUUGUCUCAUGUCUACUACAUUCACAGUCAUAAGAAUUAAAUAUAUAAAUAUGGGAGUUUAUGAAAGCGCAUACCUGCAUACUGAGCACAAAAUUUAUUCAACCCAAAAUAUUUAAUAAUAGCGACAAUUGGAUAUGAGAAUGCAGAUACCAUGAGAGA